This 833-nucleotide ribosomal RNA is filed under the name Escherichia coli. Its description in RNAcentral is "bacterial LSU rRNA". It matches the Rfam family "Bacterial large subunit ribosomal RNA", at positions 1 to 867 of the family's 2925-position model. RNAcentral also lists the same sequence under 1 other name. Lineage: Bacteria; Pseudomonadati; Pseudomonadota; Gammaproteobacteria; Enterobacterales; Enterobacteriaceae. The record is from RNAcentral.
GGGUUGUGAGGUUAAGCGACUAAGCGUACACGGUGGAUGCCCUGGCAGUCAGAGGCGAUGAAGGACGUGCUAAUCUGCGAUAAGCGUCGGUAAGGUGAUAUGAACCGUUAUAACCGGCGAUUUCCGAAUGGGGAAACCCAGUGUGUUUCGACACACUAUCAUUAACUGAAUCCAUAGGUUAAUGAGGCGAACCGGGGGAACUGAAACAUCUAAGUACCCCGAGGAAAAGAAAUCAACCGAGAUUCCCCCAGUAGCGGCGAGCGAACGGGGAGCAGCCCAGAGCCUGAAUCAGUGUGUGUGUUAGUGGAAGCGUCUGGAAAGGCGCGCGAUACAGGGUGACAGCCCCGUACACAAAAAUGCACAUACUGUGAGCUCGAUGAGUAGGGCGGGACACGUGGUAUCCUGUCUGAAUAUGGGGGGACCAUCCUCCAAGGCUAAAUACUCCUGACUGACCGAUAGUGAACCAGUACCGUGAGGGAAAGGCGAAAAGAACCCCGGCGAGGGGAGUGAAAAAGAACCUGAAACCGUGUACGUACAAGCAGUGGGAGCACGCUUCGGCGUGUGACUGCGUACCUUUUGUAUAAUGGGUCAGCGACUUAUAUUCUGUAGCAAGGUUAACCGAAUAGGGGAGCCGAAGGGAAACCGAGUCUUAACUGGGCGUUAAGUUGCAGGGUAUAGACCCGAAACCCGGUGAUCUAGCCAUGGGCAGGUUGAAGGUUGGGUAACACUAACUGGAGGACCGAACCGACUAAUGUUGAAAAAUUAGCGGAUGACUUGUGGCUGGGGGUGAAAGGCCAAUCAAACCGGGAGAUAGCUGGUUCUCCCCGAAAGCU